Long non-coding RNA from Felis catus (domestic cat), 1604 nucleotides. RefSeq lists it as uncharacterized. The transcript has 3 exons. The record is from RefSeq and is a predicted model, not a curated record. Lineage: Eukaryota; Metazoa; Chordata; Mammalia; Carnivora; Felidae.
UCUAGCUCAAAAUAAAUUUUAAAAACUUUAAAAAAAAAAAAAGGAAGGAAAUUCUGAUACCUGCUCUAAUACGGAUGAACCUUGAAGACAUUAUGCUGAGUGAAAUCAGCCAGUCACCGAGAUACAAACACUGCCUGAUUCGACUUACAUGAGGAUCCAAGGGUUUAUUGCCACGAAUGCAAAACAUGCCGACAAUGAAUUGCGUUCACAAAAGAUCAAGUUGCUUUUCCAGGUUCAUGGAGCACCGUGAACCCUCUGAAAAUAUUCGGGGAGCAGUUGCAGCUUUGGGGGCAGCGGCAGUGUGUGCAUAACACAUUUGGGGACACAGUGGAGCUGGCAAAGGCAUGGAUCCCGGAUCUGGACCGCCUGGGUUCAACUCCCAGCUCUCCGACUAACCGGCUGUGCCACCUGAGAAUAGUUACUUAACCUCUCUGGGCCUCAGUCUCCCCGUUUAUCCACGGGGGUCAAAACAGCACCUGUCUCACUGAGCUGCUGUGAGACUAAAUGAGUUGAUGCGUGUCAAGCAUGGUUGGGACAGUGCCUGGCAUGUCGUAAGUGCUCAAUAAACGUUAGGUGUUGUUUUAUUCGUUUUAAUUGUUUAAUCUUUUCGGGAAGUUUAUUUAUUUUGAAAGAGAGAAAGCACGAGCAGGGGAGGGGCGGAGAAGGAGGGAGAGAGACUCCCAAGCAGGCUCUGCCCUGUCAGCGAGCAGCCCCACACGGGGCUGAAACCCACAAACCAUGAGGUCGUGACCUGAGCCUGAAUCGAGAGUCUUGAAGCUUCACCAACUGAGCUCCCCCAAGGUGUUGUUUUCUUACUUCGUGGGAUCGUUGUGAGAAUUACUUGAAUUAAACAUGAGUAUCUAGAAUAGCGUGUGGCACUUGGUACAAGCUAAGGGGGACCAGAGUUCACUGUCCACUAGCAGAGUUUCCGCCACAUGUCCCAUAAUGCCCCUGAGCCUAUGGGACAUUUAGGGAGCCUUCCCAAGGCCACACAAACACACCAUCAUUCCACCAUCUGGCUGCCUGUGGUGGUUUUGGAAUACAUCCACAAAUUCUUCCCUUCGAAGGGUGGAGACUAAUUCCCUUUCCCUUGAAUGGGAGCCAGACUCGACGGCUUAGACUCGAUGGCUUGCUCCUAACAGAUAGAACAUGGUAGAAAUAACGGGGUGUGACUUCUGAGGCCAGGUUACAAAAGACAUUGCUCCUGGGGGCGCCUGGGUGGCUCAGUGAAGUGACCCGCUUCAGCUCAGGUCCCUUAACCGACUGAGCCACCCAGGCGCCCCUAUACUCCUUGUUUAAUCCUUGGGCCAACUUGUAACGUAGGGACUCUUGUCACUUCAUUUUACGGAUGAGGAAGCCAUGGCACAGAGAGGUUACCUAAUGUACCUGAGGCCACCCAGUAAUUAAGUGCAGGAGCUUAAUGAUUAAUUCAUUCAAACGCAGGCAGCCGGACCCACCCCAGCAGUACCCUUAACCACCUGGUUCACACAAAGCCAGUAUUAGUUGUAUUUUUAAUUUUUUUAUUUACUUGUUUUCAGAGAAAGAGCACGCGAGCAAGCGGGGAAGGGCAGAGAGAGAGGGAGAGAGAAUCCCAAGCCGGCUCC